Non-coding RNA from Pimephales promelas (fathead minnow), 326 nucleotides. The record is from RefSeq and is a predicted model, not a curated record. NCBI's taxonomy places the organism in Eukaryota, Metazoa, Chordata, Actinopteri, Cypriniformes, Leuciscidae.
ACAGAGCAAGAUACUGCCAGAAAAGAUCUUACUUCUUGGUGAGCUUCCAGGGAUACUAUCAUCUCUCAAAGAGGCCCUGGAGUCCAUGAAACGAGGUUCAUUCAGCUCAAGCCCAAGAUCAUCUGAGCUGUCUUCCUGAAACCUCAGACAUGAUUUCCCUCGGUGGUUCUGAUGUCCCCAAAAGAGUCUAUGGCAGACUGAACAAGUCACGAACUUCUCUUUUUACUCACGACUUGGCCACUUUACUUUUUGCUAUUGUAUUUCACUUUGUUUGACUUAAAGGAUUAGUUCACUUAAAAAAAAAAAAACUUUUGCUGAUAACUUAC